GAUGAACGCUGGCGGCGUGCCUAAUACAUGCAAGUCGAGCGAACAGAUAAGGAGCUUGCUCCUUUGACGUUAGCGGCGGACGGGUGAGUAACACGUGGAUAACCUACCUAUAAGACUGGGAUAACUUCGGGAAACCGGAGCUAAUACCGGAUAACAUAUUGAACCGCAUGGUUCAAUAGUGAAAGGCGGCUUUGCUGUCACUUAUAGAUGGAUCCGCGCCGUAUUAGCUAGUUGGUAAGGUAACGGCUUACCAAGGCAACGAUACGUAGCCGACCUGAGAGGGUGAUCGGCCACACUGGAACUGAGACACGGUCCAGACUCCUACGGGAGGCAGCAGUAGGGAAUCUUCCGCAAUGGGCGAAAGCCUGACGGAGCAACGCCGCGUGAGUGAUGAAGGUCUUCGGAUCGUAAAACUCUGUUAUCAGGGAAGAACAAAUGUGUAAGUAACUGUGCACAUCUUGACGGUACCUGAGCAGAAAGCCACGGCUAACUACGU
Molecule: ribosomal RNA, 496 nt
Filed under: uncultured bacterium
Lineage: Bacteria
Description: partial 16S ribosomal RNA
Rfam family: Bacterial small subunit ribosomal RNA
Source: RNAcentral